Long non-coding RNA from Cavia porcellus (domestic guinea pig), 363 nucleotides. RefSeq lists it as uncharacterized. The record is from RefSeq and is a predicted model, not a curated record. The transcript has 4 exons. NCBI's taxonomy places the organism in Eukaryota, Metazoa, Chordata, Mammalia, Rodentia, Caviidae.
CAGUGUUUUGCAGUUUUCAAGUUCUACUUUUAUUCAGUUUAUAAUGUGUCUUUCAACGUUGGACUGACAGAAAGAGGACUUCAGUGACACUUCAUCACCUUGUAUAGAAUGAAUUGACUUGGAGUCAUUGUGGCAAGGAAUAAAAACCAAAAAGGACAUGCUUAAAAUAAUUGCAAGAAGGAGGUGUCUAGGAAGGUGUCAAAAAACUGAGAAGGAAGGAUAGACAGAACGAUGUUUCCUUAGCUGACCUCCACCAGGAGCCAUGUCCUGCUUUGUAAGUCCAGUCCUCUCUUUGUUGGCUGCCUCAUUGUCCUUUUUCCAAGUUACAAAUAAAUAAAUAAACACAAUGCCUAUCCCUUUCCA